RNAcentral lists this ribosomal RNA (481 nucleotides) under uncultured bacterium. RNAcentral's name for it is "partial 16S ribosomal RNA". It matches the Rfam family "Bacterial small subunit ribosomal RNA", at positions 28 to 523 of the family's 1533-position model. The record is from RNAcentral.
AGUGAACGUUGGCGGCGUGGAUUAGGCAUGCAAGUCGAGCGAGAACCGUAGCAAUACGGGGACAGCGGCGAAAGGGACAGUAAUGUGUAGGUACCUACCUCCGGGUUCGGGAUAGCUGCGGGAAACUGCAGGUAAUACCGAAUAACGUCUCCGGACCAAAGGUGUGAUUCCACCUGGAGAGGGGCCUGCAUCCUAUUAGCUUGUUGGCGGGGUAACGGCCCACCAAGGCGACGAUGGGUAGCGGGUGUGAGAGCACGACCCGCGUCAUUGGGACUGAGACACUGCCCAGACACCUACGGGUGGCUGCAGUCGUGAAUCUUCGGCAAUGGGCGCAAGCCUGACCGAGCGACGCCGCGUGUGGGAUGAAGGCCUUCGGGUUGUAAACCGCUGUCGUAGAGGAGGAAAUGCAGGGGGGUUCUCCCCUCUGUUUGACCUAUUCUAGGAGGAAGUACGGGCUAAGUUCGUGCAGCAGCCGCCGUAA